GUGGGGUAAAGGCCUACCAAGGCGACGAUCUGUAGCUGGUCUGAGAGGACGACCAGCCACACUGGAACUGAGACACGGUCCAGACUCCUACGGGAGGCAGCAGUGGGGAAUUUUGGACAAUGGGCGCAAGCCUGAUCCAGCAAUGCCGCGUGCAGGAUGAAGGCCUUCGGGUUGUAAACUGCUUUUGUACGGAACGAAACGGUGAGCUCUAAUACAGUUUGCUAAUGACGGUACCGUAAGAAUAAGCACCGGCUAACUACGUGCCAGCAGCCGCGGUAAUACGUAGGGUGCGAGCGUUAAUCGGAAUUACUGGGCGUAAAGCGUGCGCAGGCGGUUAUGUAAGACAGAUGUGAAAUCCCCGGGCUCAACCUGGGACCUGCAUUUGUGACUGCAUAGCUAGAGUACGGCAGAGGGGGAUGGAAUCCCGCGUGUA
RNAcentral lists this ribosomal RNA (433 nucleotides) under uncultured bacterium. RNAcentral's name for it is "bacterial SSU rRNA". It matches the Rfam family "Bacterial small subunit ribosomal RNA", at positions 252 to 677 of the family's 1533-position model. The record is from RNAcentral.